Long non-coding RNA from Homo sapiens (human), 1571 nucleotides. Ensembl annotates it as long intergenic non-protein coding RNA 964. Lineage: Eukaryota; Metazoa; Chordata; Mammalia; Primates; Hominidae. The record is from Ensembl.
AGAGGGCGAUGCAUGUUAAUCAAGGAGCCUGCAUUUGCGCAGGUAUAGACAAUUACACAUUUACUGGGUCAGUUGCACCUGGGGGGGACGCCAAUCUGUAAAGCAGAACCAAACCUCUUGCCUUCAGUCCUCAGAAGUUCUUCUGGUUAAAAUCAUCUAAAAAGUUGUUUCAAGUCUCCAGAACAGCUGAGAUCAGCAAAAAUAAAUGAAGCUUCUUCUGUGUGGGUGCAGAUGCUGGCCUGGGUGCUGGAAUAUGGAAAUGAGGAAGAUCCUGCCUGAGGAUUUCAUGACAGGUGAGGGGGAGAGAGGCCUGAGGAAGUUACCACCGGGGAAGGUGACAAGUGCAGUGAUAGGAUAAAUACGAAGUGCAAAGAGAAGACAGACAAGAAGUUCAGCUAGCUAAGAAAUGUGUUAAUAACACCUUGAUCAAUCAUUCCUCCACUUUUUUUUUCUUUUGAGAGUCUCAUUCUGUCACCCCACCCAGAGUGCAGUGGCAGGAACACAACUCAUUGCUACUUCAACUUUCUGGGCUCAAGCGAUCCUCCUGCCUCAGCCUCCUGUGUAGCUGGGGCCACGUGUAUUGCACCACCAAGCCUGGCUUAUUUUUUAAUUUCUUUUGUAAAGACAGGGUCUCACUAUGUUGCCCAGACUGGUUUCAAACUCUUGGACUUAAGCAAUCCUCUCAUCUUUGCCUCCCAAAGUGCUGCGAUUACCGACGUGAGCCACUGUGCCCAGCCUCACUUUAAAAAAAAAAAAAGGUUAUGAAGCAUCUCAACACAAGACCUCCUUUGCUCAUCACAACCACCCAGUGAAGCAGGCAAGACAACAGAAACUCCCCACCUGUGAUAGAUGUGAGGCCUGAAGUCUCCCACAUACCCACGGCAGAUGCAACGCACAGCGGUGACCAAUGGUGAAGGAUCUAAAACCUGAAAAGAGGCCAAAUGAUUCCUCAAAACCACGCAAGUACGAAGUAGCAGAGCGGAUCUCAAAUCCAGAGCACUGCGUGUUUUGAAAUAUACAAAUAGUGGGAAACGAAAUCUUUGUUCUGGAUGCAGUUAUAAUUUGGAAAGCGAGGAAAUAAAUUAUAACAAGGGGAAAAAACAGACACAGAGGGAUUGAAAUGCAUAACAAUAGAGAUGAAACACGAAGAGUGAUAAAUGAAGAUUGAGUGUGCACACCUUCUGGAGGAGCCCUGAUUGAGUAUUUUAAAAUACUACUAAAGUCAUGCCGUGUGACUUCUGAAGCUAGCUCCUAAGAAGUCCUUGCAGCUUCUGCCUGCGACUCUUAGAACACUUGCUUUGAAGGAUGCCAGAUGCUGUCUUAAAAGUCUGAGCACUCUGAAACCAUCAUGCUGUGAGGAAGCCCAAGCUAACCACAUGGGCAAAAAAGAUGCCCUCUGACUGCCACCAUUUGAGACACUCUAAUUAAGAACUGCCUCAUUGAGCCCAUGAGGCCCUGUGAAUGAUAAUAAUAAAUUGUUUUUAACCACUAUGUUUUUGGAUUUGUUAUAAGUUUAUAGAUAACAAGAAAAAGUUAUAUUAGCAUGGUAAUAAAAUUAUGGAUAUGUGUAA